AACGAACGCUGGCGGCAUGCCUAACACAUGCAAGUCGAACGAUGCCUUCGGGCAUAGUGGCGCACGGGUGCGUAACGCGUGGGAAUCUGCCUUUCGGUUCGGAAUAACUCAGGGAAACUUGAGCUAAUACCGGAUAACGUCGCAAGACCAAAGAUUUAUCACCGAAAGAUGAGCCCGCGUAGGAUUAGCUAGUUGGUGAGGUAAAGGCUCACCAAGGCGACGAUCCUUAGCUGGUCUGAGAGGAUGAUCAGCCACACUGGGACUGAGACACGGCCCAGACUCCUACGGGAAGCAGCAGUGGGGAAUAUUGGACAAUGGGCGAAAGCCUGAUCCAGCAAUGCCGCGUGAGUGAUGAAGGCCUUAGGGUUGUAAAGCUCUUUUAACCGGGAAGAUAAUGACGGUACCGGGAGAAUAAGCCCCGGCUAACUCCGUG
Molecule: ribosomal RNA, 433 nt
Filed under: uncultured bacterium
Lineage: Bacteria
Description: partial 16S ribosomal RNA
Rfam family: Bacterial small subunit ribosomal RNA
Source: RNAcentral